RNAcentral lists this ribosomal RNA (410 nucleotides) under uncultured bacterium. Its description in RNAcentral is "bacterial SSU rRNA". It matches the Rfam family "Bacterial small subunit ribosomal RNA", at positions 370 to 772 of the family's 1533-position model. The record is from RNAcentral.
AAUGGGGGCAACCCUGAUCCAGCCAUGCCGCGUGCGGGAAGAAGGCCUUCGGGUUGUAAACCGCUUUUGUCAGGGAAGAAAUCUUUCGGGCUAAUACCCCGGGGGGAUGACGGUACCUGGAGAAUAAGCACCGGCUAACUACGUGCCAGCAGCCGCGGUAAUACGUAGGGUGCAAGCGUUAAUCGGAAUUACUGGGCGUAAAGCGUGCGCAGGCGGUCGUGCAAGACAGAGGUGAAAUCCCCGGGCUCAACCUGGGAACUGCCUUUGUGACUGCGCGACUGGAGUGCGGCAGAGGGGGAUGGAAUUCCGCGUGUAGCAGUGAAAUGCGUAGAUAUGCGGAGGAACACCGAUGGCGAAGGCAAUCCCCUGGGCCUGCACUGACGCUCAUGCACGAAAGCGUGGGGAGCAAA